RNAcentral lists this ribosomal RNA (2131 nucleotides) under hot springs metagenome. RNAcentral's name for it is "bacterial LSU rRNA". It matches the Rfam family "Bacterial large subunit ribosomal RNA", at positions 1 to 2182 of the family's 2925-position model. The record is from RNAcentral.
AGAAGCUACAAAGAGCGCAUGAUGGAUGCCUUGGCGCCAGCAGGCGAUGAAGGACGUGAUAAGCUGCGAUAAGCCGCGGUGAGCCGCAAAUAGGCCUCGACCCGCGGAUUUCCGAAUGGGGUAACCCAUUCCGGGUAAUGCCGGAAUACCUGCGUGUGAAUCCAUAGCACGCCGGAGCGACACCCGCUGAAGUGAAACAUCUCAGUAAGCGGAGGAAAAGAAAACGAAAGUGAUUCCGCAAGUAGUGGCGAGCGAAAGCGGAACAGCCCAAACCGGGGAGCUUGCUCCCCGGGGUUGUAGGAGCCCGUCGUGGUAGUGCAAAGGUUAGGCGAAGCGGAUGGAAAGCCGCUCCAUAGAGGGUGACAGGCCCGUAACCGAAAACCCGAGCACGCCUAGGGAAUUCCUGAGUAACGCGUCACACGUGAAACGUCGCGUGAACCCGCCCCGACCACGGGGCAAGGCUAAAUACUCGCUGGCGACCGAUAGUGAACAAGUACCGCGAGGGAAAGGUGAAAAGAACCGCUGUGAGCGGAGUGAAAUAGAACCUGAAACCGUGUGCCUACAAGGUGUCAGAGCCCCUUUGGGGGUGAUGGCGUGCCUUUUGCUUAAUGAGUCUGCGAGUUAUUGUUUGUGGCAAGCUUAAGCCCUUCUGGGGUGGAGGCGAAGCGAAAGCGAGUCCGAAAUGGGCGACCCAGGUGCCGGCGCUAGACCCGAAGCGGAGGUGAUCUACCCAUGGCCAGGUUGAAGCCCCGGUAACACGAGGCGAAGGACCGAACCGAUGGACGUUGAAAAGUCCCCGGAUGAGCUGUGGGUAGGAGCGAAAGACUAAUCAAACCCCGUGAUAGCUGGUUCUCUCCGAAAUCGCUUGAGGGCGAGUCUUCUGAAAGUACCCGGCGGAGGUAGAGCACUGAAUGGCUUAGGGGCCCCACCAGGCUGCCAAAACCAAUCAAACUCCGAAUACCGUCGGUCCCAAUAUCAGAGGAAUCAGGCAGUAGGUGAUAAGAUCAAUUGCCGAGAGGGCAACAGCCCAGACCAUCAGCUAAGGUGCCUAAAUGUGAUUAAGUGGAAAGGAUGUGACGUUGCUUAGACAGUGAGGAUGUUGGCUUAGAGGCAGCCAUCAUUUAAACAGUGCGUAAUAGCUGACUCAUCGAGCGAUGUCGCGCCGAAAAUGAUUGGCGAUCAAACGUAGUACCGAAGCUAUGGAUUCAACUGGUUCUCGAAUCGGUUGAGUGGUAGGGGAGCGUUCCAAAUACAUCGAAGGUGGAAGGUGACUGAAACUGGAGUGUUUGGAAGUGAGAAUGCAGACACGAGUAGCGAUAAAGUCGGUUAAAUUCCGACUCGCCGUAAACCCAAGGUUUCCUGGGGCAGGUUCGUCCACCCAGGGUUAGUCGGGAGCUAAGACGAGGCCGUAAGGCGUAGUUGAUGCACAGCAGGUCAACAUUCCUGCACUGCAUCCGGUUAAGCACGGCAGUGACGCGGAUACCAGGGUGAUUAUCCUACUGAAUCGGGAGCUGCGGCUUCGGCCAAAGCGCAUCACCGAAAGUACCGCCAAGAAAAGCUGCUGUUCGUUCCCGGGUGCACCCGUACCGUAAACCGACACAGGUGGGUGAGUGUCAGUGCACUCAGGCGCGCGAUAGAAACCUCUCUAAGGAACUCGGCACAUUGACCCCGUAACUUCGGGAUAAGGGGUGCCCUGAUUGCACAUAAAUGUGAAAUCGAGGGCCGCAGUAAAUAGCGCUUAGCGACUGUUUAACAAAAACACAGCACUCUGCAAAGUCGUGAAGACGACGUAUAGGGUGUGACACGUGACCAAUGCGGAAAGAUUAAAACAUUGGGUUAGCCGCAAGGCGAAGCUCGGUGUCCAAGUCCCCGUGAAUGUCGGCCGUAACUAUAACGGUCCUAAGGUAGCGAAAUUCCUUGUCGGGUAAGUUCCGACCUGCACGAAUCGUGUAACGACUUGAGCGCUGUCUCAACGAGGAUCUCGGUGAAAUUGUAGUCCAGAGGAAAGUGUCUGGUACCCGCAGUAGGACGGAAAGACCCUGUGAACCUUUACUGUAAUCUGAUAUGGGGUUCUGGUUCUUCAUAUGUAGCAUAGCUGGGAGGCUGCGAAGCCUGGCCGUCAGGUCAGGUG